This 147-nucleotide antisense RNA is filed under the name Cronobacter sakazakii ATCC BAA-894. RNAcentral's name for it is "sok antitoxin (CssrC)". It matches the Rfam family "sok antitoxin (CssrC)". From Rfam's summary of the family: Also identified in Shigella as CssrC. Lineage: Bacteria; Pseudomonadati; Pseudomonadota; Gammaproteobacteria; Enterobacterales; Enterobacteriaceae. The record is from Rfam by way of RNAcentral.
GGGUGCUCAGGCUGGCUGGCUUGGGCAUGAUGCAAAGGCUGGUCAGAUGAAUGCCCCCCUAAGUUAAUUCCAUUUAACCUCGGGGGAGGCUGCAAUCAAGACCCAACAGCCUGAUUGUAGCCUCUUCCCUAUAAGGAGGCAAUUAUG